RNAcentral lists this ribosomal RNA (604 nucleotides) under Hormogaster sp. UCML T00361. RNAcentral's name for it is "partial 16S ribosomal RNA". It matches the Rfam family "Bacterial large subunit ribosomal RNA", at positions 1857 to 2759 of the family's 2925-position model. Lineage: Eukaryota; Metazoa; Annelida; Clitellata; Crassiclitellata; Hormogastridae. The record is from RNAcentral.
UCCUGCCCAGUGACAUAGUUCAACGGCCGCGGUAUCCUAACCGUGCAAAGGUAGCAUAAUCACUUGCCCAUUAAUUGUGGGCUAGAAUGAAAGGACCAACGAAAUAAAAACUGUCUCUAUAAGUCACAUAAAAAUUAAUCUCUAACUGAAGAGUGUUAGAUUCCAUCGAAGGACAAGAAGACCCCAUAGAGCUUCAUUUUAACAAAGAUCAACUCUUCACUAAAAUUCGGUUGGGGCGACCAAGGAUAUACCAAUCAUCCUUAAAUAAAAGACCAAUUAUUCUAAAAAAGACCCUUAAACAAGAUCAUAAAAACAAGCUACCUUGGGGAUAACAGGCUAAUCCUGCUAGAGAGUCCUUAUCAAUAGUAGGGGUUGGCACCUCGAUGUUGGCUUAGGGUAUCUAUACGGCGCAAAAGUUGUAUAAAGAUGGUUUGUUCAACCAAUAACACCCUACAUGAGCUGAGUUCAGACCGGCGCAAGCCAGGUUAGUUUCUAUCCACGACAAAACCUCUAUCUAUAGUACGAAAGGACCUGGAUAAGAGUAAUUAUUAUUAAACGAGAGCAAAUAUAAUACCAGAUAAACCCUAAUAAACGUAAACUACGA